This 1138-nucleotide ribosomal RNA is filed under the name Streptomyces djakartensis. RNAcentral's name for it is "bacterial SSU rRNA". The stretch from base 1 to 784 matches the Rfam family "Bacterial small subunit ribosomal RNA". The record is from RNAcentral. Lineage: Bacteria; Bacillati; Actinomycetota; Actinomycetes; Kitasatosporales; Streptomycetaceae.
GGGCCAGGGCGCGUGCUUACCAUGCAAGUCGAACGAUGAACACUUCGGUGGGGAUUAGUGGCGAACGGGUGAGUAACACGUGGGCAAUCUGCCCUGCACUCUGGGACAAGCCCUGGAAACGGGGUCUAAUACCGGAUAUUGACCUUCACGGGCAUCUGUGAGGUUCGAAAGCUCCGGCGGUGCAGGAUGAGCCCGCGGCCUAUCAGCUUGUUGGUGAGGUAAUGGCUCACCAAGGCGACGACGGGUAGCCGGCCUGAGAGGGCGACCGGCCACACUGGGACUGACACACGGCCCACACUCCUACGGGAGGCAGCAGUGGGGAAUAUUGCACAAUGGGCGAAAGCCUGAUGCACCGACGCCGCGUGAGGGAUGACGGCCUUCGGGUUGUACACCUCUUUCAGAAGGGAAGAAGCGAAAGUGACGGUACCUGAAGAAGAAGCGCCGGCUAACUACGUGCCAGCCGCCGUAAUAAUACGUACGGCCUAGCGUUGACCGGAAUUAUUGAGCGAAAACACCUCGUAGGCUGGUUGCCGCGACGGUUGUGAAAGUCUCGUGCCUAGCGGCGCUUCAGUAGACGAUACGGGCAGGCUAGAGUUCAGAAGAGAAGAUCGUUCUUCGUGGAGUAGAGAUGCAAAGAUAAGAAAUCACGAAGAUCACUAGCGCAGAUCUCUCAUCACUACAGACACUCACUAAUAACGCGCGCGUACAGACAAACUAGAUAGAUACAUAGCCAGGCCACCCACGUUAGUAACUGUGCGUGACUCUACGCUCCAUUCCAUCCUAGCCGUACCUAAUCAAGACUAUCCCGUGCUGGGCAGCACCACGCGAGCACAACACUAAACUAAUAGGCAUGGCCCCACCGCCACAGACGUGUAGAUGAAGCUAACUCGCAAUAUCUAAAAUCUUUCACUGUACACAUCACGAUAACACUCCACACGUCGCCUCUUGUAACGGGGACAGCUGAGCACGCUCCGUCAGUAAAGUAGUACUAAUCACUCACCCCCCACGAGCCACCCUUGCACGGGUGCCAGAACCAUGCAACCCAAGAUACGCGAGACGCAGGGUAACCUUAAAACCUUCGAUAUUUUACAUGAUGUCUUAUGCCGGAUAAAACUGCAUUAAAGAGUUAAAUCCUAAA